This 221-nucleotide long non-coding RNA is filed under the name Elaeis guineensis (African oil palm). Its description in RNAcentral is "long non-coding RNA (EGUI_LNC017737)". Lineage: Eukaryota; Viridiplantae; Streptophyta; Magnoliopsida; Arecales; Arecaceae. The record is from RNAcentral.
AUAUUCUGAUACUAUAUUAAUACUCUGAUAUUAUAUAAAUUAUCGUAUCUCCGAACCGAAAUCAUGAGCCAAAAGUAAUGGUGCAACUACCGUAAACUUUUCAUACAUGAGUCUAAUAAAUAUAUAUGGGUCCUAUAAGAGGAGGGACCAUAUAACACAUACUUAAUCCCAAGAGAGAGAAAGAGACGUGUGCAUAAGGAACAUGACCCACAUAUAGGCAC